Molecule: ribosomal RNA, 429 nt
Filed under: uncultured prokaryote
Description: partial 16S ribosomal RNA
Source: RNAcentral
CCCUCUGGGGUGCACCAGAUUCGCGUGCAGAUGGCGGCCGCCGGGCACCCGGUGCUGGGGGACGACAAGUACGGUGACCGGGAGUUCAACAAACUCCACAAAAAGAAACUCCAGCAGCUUCUGGCGAAACGGCUGGAGAUUGACGGGCAUGUGUUUGAGAGUUUAAGGGAGUUGGAGAUUUAGGGGAAGAAGAAGAGGUACGCGAAAGCGAACCUCUUUAUUACAAUAUCUACGAAUUCCACAAAUUGCUGCUGAUAAUGUUUUGCACUUUCUCCAUGGUUUCUCUUGUCAUUAUUGUUUGAUGAUUUCUAGAUCCAAGCCGCAUUUCAAAGAUGGGAAGAGCUUUCUUUAACCACUUGAAUGCCAGACUAUAUUUACCUUGAGCCUUAUAGGUCGAUCCGAUUAAGUAGUAGGAAUUGGCGGGGGGGC